This is a non-coding RNA of Delphinapterus leucas (beluga whale), 301 nucleotides long. The record is from RefSeq and is a predicted model, not a curated record. NCBI's taxonomy places the organism in Eukaryota, Metazoa, Chordata, Mammalia, Artiodactyla, Monodontidae.
GAUGUCAAACCUUGACAUAACCAAGACUGACGAAGCCUCAUCACUUUGAUACUGCUCUUGGAACACUGACUUUGUCCAUCAGCAUCUCUUCUCUCUACUUCGAGAUAUCUGAUCACUUCUGUGACUAAGCUAUUUGAACAGUCAGCAGUUUGCUGAACCUUGGCCCCAUAUAAACUGAAGCAGUUUCAAAUCCAUUACAGGGAAGGUUAGAAUGGAGAAAGGUGAAGAAGAGCAGAAUGCAGUUCUGGAGGGGCAAACAGAAGAUCUCUUCCUUGCAUAAGUGACAGUCGCAGAAUUGGAG